AGUUCUCGUUGAUGAUCGGUGCUUGCACCGAGAUUCAACAUGGAACGAGUGGCGGACGGGUGAGUAACACGUGGGUAACCUGCCCUUAAGUGGGGGAUAACAUUUGGAAACAGAUGCUAAUACCGCAUAGAUCCAAGAACCGCAUGGUUCUUGGCUGAAAGAUGGCGUAAGCUAUCGCUUUUGGAUGGACCCGCGGCGUAUUAGCUAGUUGGUGAGGUAAUGGCUCACCAAGGCGAUGAUACGUAGCCGAACUGAGAGGUUGAUCGGCCACAUUGGGACUGAGACACGGCCCAAACUCCUACGGGAGGCAGCAGUAGGGAAUCUUCCACAAUGGACGCAAGUCUGAUGGAGCAACGCCGCGUGAGUGAAGAAGGCUUUCGGGUCGUAAAACUCUGUUGUUGGAGAAGAAUGGUCGGCAGAGUAACUGUUGUCGGCGUGACGGUAUCCAACCAGAAAGCCACGGCUAACUACGUGCCAGCAGCCGCGGUAAUACGUAGGUGGCAAGCGUUAUCCGGAUUUAUUGGGCGUAAAGCGAGCGCAGGCGGUUUUUUAAGUCUGAUGUGAAAGCCCUCGGCUUAACCGAGGAAGCGCAUCGGAAACUGGGAAACUUGAGUGCAGAAGAGGACAGUGGAACUCCAUGUGUAGCGGUGAAAUGCGUAGAUAUAUGGAAGAACACCAAUGGCGAAGGCGGCUGUCUGGUCUGU
RNAcentral lists this ribosomal RNA (704 nucleotides) under Lacticaseibacillus casei. Its description in RNAcentral is "bacterial SSU rRNA". It matches the Rfam family "Bacterial small subunit ribosomal RNA", at positions 60 to 737 of the family's 1533-position model. The record is from RNAcentral. Lineage: Bacteria; Bacillati; Bacillota; Bacilli; Lactobacillales; Lactobacillaceae.